UACAGAGGUCUCAAGCGUUGUUCGGAUUCAUUGGGCGUAAAGGGUGCGUAGGUGGUGCCGUAAGUUGGAUGUGAAAUCCCGGAGCUUAACUCCGGAACUGCAUUCAAUACUGCGGUGCUUGAGUACUGGAGAGGAGAUCGGAAUUCACGGUGUAGCAGUGAAAUGCGUAGAUAUCGUGAGGAAGACCAGUGGCGAAGGCGGAUCUCUGGACAGUUACUGACACUGAGGCACGAAGGCCAGGGGAGCAAACGGG
This 253-nucleotide ribosomal RNA is filed under the name uncultured bacterium. Its description in RNAcentral is "partial 16S ribosomal RNA". It matches the Rfam family "Bacterial small subunit ribosomal RNA", at positions 524 to 776 of the family's 1533-position model. The record is from RNAcentral.